GGCAGCACGAUGUAGCAAUACAUUGGUGGCGACCGGCGCACGGGUGAGUAACGCGUAUGCAACCUACCUAUCAGAGGGGAAUAACCCGGCGAAAGUCGGACUAAUACCGCAUAAAACAGGGGUUCCACAUGGAAAUAUUUGUUAAAGAAUUAUCGCUGAUAGAUGGGCAUGCGUUCCAUUAGAUAGUUGGUGAGGUAACGGCUCACCAAGUCCACGAUGGAUAGGGGUUCUGAGAGGAAGGUCCCCCACACUGGUACUGAGACACGGACCAGACUCCUACGGGAGGCAGCAGUGAGGAAUAUUGGUCAAUGGGCGAGAGCCUGAACCAGCCAAGUCGCGUGAAGGAUGAAGGAUCUAUGGUUUGUAAACUUCUUUUAUAUGGGAAUAAAGUGAGGAACGUGUUCCUUUUUGUAUGUACCAUAUGAAUAAGCAUCGGCUAACUCCGUGCCAGCAGCCGCGGUAAUACGGAGGAUGCGAGCGUUAUCCGGAUUUAUUGGGUUUAAAGGGUGCGUAGGUGGUUAAUUAAGUCAGCGGUGAAAGUUUGUGGCUCAACCAUAAAAUUGCCGUUGAAACUGGUUGACUUGAGUAUAUUUGAGGUAGGCGGAAUGCGUGGUGUAGCGGUGAAAUGCAUAGAUAUCACGCAGAACUCCGAUUGCGAAGGCAGCUUACUAAACUAUAACUGACACUGAAGCACGAAAGCGUGGGGAUCAAACAGGAUUAGAUACCCUGGUAGUCCACGCAGUAAACGAUGAUUACUAGCU
This 761-nucleotide ribosomal RNA is filed under the name uncultured bacterium. RNAcentral describes it as "bacterial SSU rRNA". It matches the Rfam family "Bacterial small subunit ribosomal RNA", at positions 66 to 821 of the family's 1533-position model. The record is from RNAcentral.